GCGAAAAUACCAGCACUAAUGCACCGGAUCCCAUCAGAACUCCGCAGU
RNAcentral lists this ribosomal RNA (48 nucleotides) under Chenopodium opulifolium. Lineage: Eukaryota; Viridiplantae; Streptophyta; Magnoliopsida; Caryophyllales; Amaranthaceae. The record is from RNAcentral.